This 409-nucleotide ribosomal RNA is filed under the name bacterium. RNAcentral describes it as "partial 16S ribosomal RNA". It matches the Rfam family "Bacterial small subunit ribosomal RNA", at positions 355 to 776 of the family's 1533-position model. The record is from RNAcentral.
UGGGGUAUAUUGCACAAUGGGCGAAAGCCUGAUGCAGCGACGCCGCGUGAGGGAUGACGGCCUUCGGGUUGUAAACCUCUUUCAGCAGGGACGAAGCGCAAGUGACGGUACCUGCAGAAGAAGCACCGGCUAACUACGUGCCAGCAGCAGCGGGAAGACGUAGGGUGCAAGCGUUGUUCGGAAUUACUGGGCGUAAAGAGUUCGUAGGCGGUUUGUCGCGUCGUUUGUGAAAACCAGCAGCUCAACAGCUGGCUUGCAGGCGAUACGGGCAGACUUGAGUACUGCAGGGGAGACUGUGAUUCCUGGUGUAGCGGUGAGAUACGCAGAUAUCAGGAGAAACACCGGUGGCGAAGGCGGGUCUCUGGGCAGUAACUGACGCUGAGGAACGAGAGCGUGGGUAGCGAACAGG